Molecule: ribosomal RNA, 468 nt
Filed under: uncultured bacterium
Lineage: Bacteria
Description: partial 16S ribosomal RNA
Rfam family: Bacterial small subunit ribosomal RNA
Source: RNAcentral
GACGAACGCUGGCGGCGUGCUUAACACAUGCAGGUCGAACGUAAAGGCCCUGCUUUUGUGGGGUGCUCGAGUGGCGAACGGGUGAGUAACACGUGAGUAACCUGCCCUUGACUUUGGGAUAACUUCAGGAAACUGGGGCUAACACCGGAUAGGAGCUCCUGCUGCAUGGUGGGGGUUGGAAAGUUUCGGCGGUUGGGGAUGGACUCGCGGCUUAUCAGCUUGUUGGUGGGGUAGUGGCUUACCAAGGCUUUGACGGGUAGCCGGCCUGAGAGGGUGACCGGCCACAUUGGGACUGAGAUACGGCCCAGACUCCUACGGGAGGCAGCAGUGGGGAAUAUUGCACAAUGGGCGGAAGCCUGAUGCAGCAACGCCGCGUGCGGGAUGACGGCCUUCGGGUUGUAAACCGCUUUCGCCUGUGACGAAGCGUGAGUGACGGUAAUGGGUAAAGAAGCACCGGCUAACUACGUG